UGGGGAAUCUUGGACAAUGGGCGAAAGCCUGAUCCAGCCAUGCCGCGUGAGUGACGAAGGUCUUCGGAUUGUAAAGCUCUUUUGGCGGGGACGAUAAUGACGGUACCCGCAGAAUAAGCCCCGGCUAACUUCGUGCCAGCAGCCGCGGUAAUACGAAGGGGGCUAGCGUUGUUCGGAAUUACUGGGCGUAAAGCGCACGUAGGCGGAUUUGUAAGUCAGGGGUGAAAUCCCGGGGCUCAACCUCGGAACUGCCCUUGAUACUGCAAAUCUCGAGUCCGAUAGAGGUGAGUGGAAUUCCUAGUGUAGAGGUGAAAUUCGUAGAUAUUGGGAAGAACACCAGUGGCGAAAGGCGGCUAACUGGUCCGGUACUGACGCUGAGGUGCGAAAGCGUGGGGAGCAAACAGGAUUAGAUACCCCUGUAGUCCCUGAGCGGGCUGGCAAGGCGCAU
RNAcentral lists this ribosomal RNA (448 nucleotides) under uncultured bacterium. RNAcentral describes it as "bacterial SSU rRNA". It matches the Rfam family "Bacterial small subunit ribosomal RNA", at positions 355 to 825 of the family's 1533-position model. The record is from RNAcentral.